UUCGAUGCCAGCGACGACGAC
This 21-nucleotide non-coding RNA is filed under the name Arabidopsis thaliana (thale cress). Lineage: Eukaryota; Viridiplantae; Streptophyta; Magnoliopsida; Brassicales; Brassicaceae. The record is from RNAcentral.